This 495-nucleotide ribosomal RNA is filed under the name uncultured bacterium. RNAcentral's name for it is "bacterial SSU rRNA". It matches the Rfam family "Bacterial small subunit ribosomal RNA", at positions 30 to 524 of the family's 1533-position model. The record is from RNAcentral.
AUUGAACGCUGGCGGCAUGCCUUACACAUGCAAGUCGAACGGUAACAGGUCUUCGGAUGCUGACGAGUGGCGAACGGGUGAGUAAUACAUCGGAACGUGCCCGAUCGUGGGGGAUAACGCAGCGAAAGCUGUGCUAAUACCGCAUACGAUCUACGGAUGAAAGCGGGGGAUCGCAAGACCUCGCGCGGACGGAGCGGCCGAUGGCAGAUUAGGUAGUUGGUGGGAUAAAAGCUUACCAAGCCGACGAUCUGUAGCUGGUCUGAGAGGACGACCAGCCACACUGGGACUGAGACACGGCCCAGACUCCUACGGGAGGCAGCAGUGGGGAAUAUUGGUCAAUGGGGGCAACCCUGAACCAGCCAUGCCGCGUGCAGGAAGACGGCCCUACGGGUUGUAAACUGCUUUUAUACGGGAAUAAAUCUCGCUACGUGUAGUGAGUUGAAUGUACUGUAAGAAUAAGGAUCGGCUAACUCCGUAGCCAGCAGCCGCGGUAAU